RNAcentral lists this long non-coding RNA (10270 nucleotides) under Lynx pardinus (Iberian lynx). Lineage: Eukaryota; Metazoa; Chordata; Mammalia; Carnivora; Felidae. The record is from RNAcentral.
GUUAAUGUAACCCAGUUGGAAUUUUAUAGUUCUAGGAGUCUGGAUUUUCAUUUUUAAGGUAAGUGUGUUUUUUUUUUUUUUGUCUGCUUUUUGCUUAUUUUUGAAACCAUUUUGAGAAGCGUAAAAAUAAAUUUAUAUAUGUGAUCCACUGUUGUAUAUAAGUAAGCGUUUUUUUUUUUUUUUUAAAUGAGAGCAAUGUGACAGCUAUAUAUUACCAGGUGAAGAUAUUACAUAUAAAGUAUUCUGUAGAUAUUUGUGUCCAAAGAUACUUUUGAUUGGGGAAGUUUCUUGGAGAUGUUAGCAUGAAGUUAGUGUUUGGAUGAGGAUACUUAUAAAGAGUUAUGCAUAUUAAUGUGGUAAUUUCUAAUUAGCAAAACGACUUUCAAAUAAACAAUCUAGCUAUGUGUCUAAGGAGCAAUGUCUUUAAUUGCCCUGUGAUAAACCCACAGCUGGGUAACAGAUAGCAGUAAAAUCUGUCAAUGAAACCAAUAUUGUUAUGCUUCACCAGCUCUGUUCACUUGUUAGAGUGCGUUAAGCGGAAUUCUAAUGGAGAAUUAUUUGAAAGACAUUUAGGCACGCUGGAACAUAUUUCUGUUCAUACGAUGUGAUUUAGUGGAAUGCAUUAUCCUUCAAAGCUAAUCAUAAAAAAAGCAACACACAUACAAAAGCAUUUCGGUAAAAGUUUCCUCCUUUUUUUUUUUUUUUUUUUAAGUUUUCUCCUUUAAAGACUUAUGUGUCGAAAGGAUAAACCUGGCCGGGAUUAUCGAUAUUGGGGCAGAAUAUAUAUUGCCCUUGUAUCUUAUGUGUGGACACUGGGUACUUCUAGGCCAUUGUGGUUGCCUUUUAAUUAGACUAAACUUCACUCGAGAUUAGUAGACGCUUUCUUUACAGUAGUAUUCUUAGUCUGCUUCGUGAUGUUUAUUAUUAAACAUUUUGUUAAAUUUUCUGAACUCUUCAUCUACUAUGUGAUUUUUGUAAUAUUACUCUCAUUCACAUGGAUGGGAAUGACCAUGGCUUAUAUUAUUCAAAACAAUUUUUUUUUAAAGCUUAUUUCUUUUUUGAGAGAAAGAGAGACCGAGCAUGAACGGGGGAGGGGGAAAGAGCGAGGGAGACCCAGAACGUGAAGCAGGCUCCAGGCUCCGAGCUGUCAGCACAGAGCCUGAUGCAGAGCUAGAACCCAUGAAUAGAGACAUCAUGACCUGAGCCGAAGUCUGAUGCUUAACUGACUGAGCGACCCAGGCGUCCCAUUACCAUGGUUUAUAUUCAAGGUAGGGGAUUGAACACAUUCAGAUUACCUUUCAGGAAGUCACAGAGUAAAGAUUUAGACCCAGAGAGCAGGUCAGCCUGUGGUAACCGUGGCCUCUCACUGCCCUGCAUGCUUUUCCAGUGUCCUUCUGAUAACAGAUCUUUGUUUUCCUUUUGGUACCAACCCUGCCCAUUCCACGUGAACUUGGCGGGCCUGGCAGUCACAUCGGCCUGCCCUCUCGUGACCCCAGAAGCCAGGCACAUAAUUCAGAGUAUCCUUUUGGCACGGCUACAGCGAUUGAUUCUGAGAUUGGCACGUGGACCAAUUUGAGUCCAUCACUAACCGCCUCCUCUAAAAUCUCAGAGUUCGCUAUUUUCUGCCGGAGUUGCUACACUGAGAGAAUGCAGUGGGCAGCGCUGGGGGUCAUCUCGGGGAGACACAGGUUGAAGUAUGAAGCCAAGUGAGGUAAAAAAAAAAAGGAGGAGGGAUAGAGAAAUGGAGGCCUGGAGACAUUAUUUACUUCCUCACACUAGCUGUGCCUGAAAUCCGUGAUAAUUCUACGCCUCCCAGAAAUACGGGAUUGCCUUUUUUUUUUUCCCAAGAGCUCAUUUGAGUUGGGUUUCCAUCAUUUGAAACUCAGAGUCAUGAUUCCUACGGAGGGUUACCUGUUUGUUUGGGCAACACUCAAAGCAGGCUAUAUUAAUUAGAAAGCCUGAGUCUAAUUACUUACAGGUCACAUCAAAAUAGAGGUCUUCUCUACUAAAGGUGGAAGGUACAGUUUGGGAGACAGUUCUGCUAAUUCAACAAAAUAUAUCGAUAAGUGUUCUUAGAGACUUCCAAAGACCAUUUUACGCAUCAUUUUUGCUUCAGUUCAACACUGUAUAUCUAUAAAGGAGAUCCACUUCAUGAGAUAAUUCAUUUAGUUUGGUGGGUUAUACGUACAAAGUGAUCUAGGAAAAAAAAAAAAAAGCACAUUGCACAAUAAAACCAAAAGAGAACACACCCCUUUCUUACUCGGUCGUUAGAAAUACUGCCUCAGAAUUGUCUGAGUCCUCUUCCUGUGGCUCCUCUGGGAAUGGAGUAGCCCUCCCCUUACUUGUGGUUUCAGUUACCCACGGUCAACUACCGUCCAGAAGCAGAUGAUCCUUCUGAUGUAUUGUCAGAAGGUCAGUGGUUGCCUAAUGCUAUGUCCCAAUAUCUACAUCAUUAACGUCACUUCAUCUCAUUCCAUGAACAUUUGGUCAUCUCAUAUCGUCACAAGGAGAAGGGUGAAUACAGUACAAUAAGAUACUUUAAGAGAGACCAUAGCCAUGGAACUUUUAUAACAGCAUAUUACUAUAAUCAUUCUAUUUUACUACCAGCUAUUGGUGUUGAUCUCUGACUGUGCCUAAUUUAUAAAUUAAACUUUAUCGUAGGUAUGUAUGUGUAGGAAAAAACAGUAUAUAUAUAGACUUUGGUACUGUCCAGUAUCAGACAUCCACUGGGCAUCUUGGCAUGUAUCCCCUGUGGAUAAAAAAGGGCUAUUGUAUUACUGUGAGGCUUGCCCCCAAGACCUCAUGUCCCCAUGUCUUUCUGAUUUAAGUCCCAAAUUUUCCAACCCCCAUUGGGUCACCCCCAGCCUCUAGGGCCUCAUACCUUUAUCUUGUCUUUAUUUUUCUAUUUUGCAGCCUUGAUCCAAUUUCUGAGACCCCCCCCCCCAACCCCCAAAUGUCAUUUCUUCUGGGUUCGGUGUGUUCAAUAAUAGUUCUUUAGGCAAAACUCUUCCUGGACUAACUUAUGUUCCAGGACUCUGUCUUCACUCACAAUGACUUUGAGAAGUCUCCUUCCCUCCCAGAUCUGGUCUGUCAUUUCCAGAAUAUGACAUGAGAAUCAUUAAGUAAGUGAGCCUUUCCCAAUCGGGUUUCUCUCUGACUUCUAAAAUUUCAGAGAUUCAUUCUCUUGUCUUGUUUCCUUCCUUGAUAAAAUGUCAUCGAUCAUUUUUUGGGGGGAGGGGAGCUGUGUUAGACCUCGUGGUUGACUCCAUAAUAUCCAUCGUACGCACCUCCCCCCCAGGCUGGGUUGGGAGAUUUUGUGCCAGCUUCAGGGUGGGUGGGGCCCUGAUUAGUCUCAGUCAAUAAUGGCCCUUCUUCUCCUUAUCAGUAGUUGGUUCAGGAACUCAGACAGAACACAGCAUUCCAUGUAUGACAGCUUAGGGGUAAAUGACAUAUGUUGGUCUAAACAGACAAAAAAGAAGGCUUUGAUUCAGUGGCUGGGGAAAUCAUCCAUCUCUCUCUCUCCUUCUCUAUUCCUCCUCACUUGCCCCUCCAGUAGACAUGAAAGGCCUAAGCGAUACAUGUAGCUGUCCUAUAACCACAGGGAAAACAACCUUAGGAUGAAGCUGAAUUGUGUUAAGCAGAGAGAUAGAAAGAACCUGAGUGUUUCAUGACAUUGUCCAGUCCCUGGAUAGGCCUAAUCCUUAUCAAGGCUUCCAGAUAAGUGAGUCAUACAUUCUGCGUUCAAACCCUUAACUUUCACAAAGCUAAUGUAACUAAUACAAUGGCUUUAUUAGUGUUCUUUUCUGUGGUCAGGUUUUGAAUCCAGGGGAGUAAGUACAGCCCAGAGGGAAGUCAAAGGAAAAUAUUUCCCAGAGGAGGAAAGAAUAGGGAGUGAGAAACACCAGAAAUAAGCUUUUCAUACUUUGCAGUGUGCCAGAGGGUCAGCUUUCUAUCCAAGUAGCCUGGAGAUAUGAUUAUAUCAUUUUUUUCCCCCUCUUAACCAGGGAUAAAGACUCCUUUUCAGACACUUGCCUUGAAACCCUCCAAAUCGUGGUACAAUGAUGGAGAGACUUGUCCAGUGCUCCAGGCAAAGAUCAUAAGGUUGGGCCCUAAGUCCAGCAAAUAAUAAGAGCUAACAUUAACAUUUAUAAACCAUUUUCCAGUUUGCCACUACCUGAUUUCAUCUGAGCCCGAGAACAAUUCUUCAGAGUAACUUUUCAUCAUCUUCAUUGACAAAUGAGGCAGCUAAGGCUUGGGGAGACAAACUGAAUGAAUGGCACAGAGCCACCCAGCUGGAGACAAAGAAUCCAGGACCAAAGGCUGGAAUUCUGACUCGAAGCUUCACUGUUGCGACCAUCCCACACCACCCCUUUGCCCUCCCAUGUGGCUUCUCUGUUCCCUGGCGUUUUCUUCUACAUUCAGAAUCAGUUUUCCUCGUUGGCUUGUCUUUGGGAAGGCAGCCCCAGGCCUUCCUUAUCUGUUUGUGGUUGCUGGACUUCUCUUACCAUGAAAAGGGCUUUAUUUCUUGGCAUUGAGUCCCGUUCCUUAUCCACUCCUUUUCUCCAUUACUUCACUGGGCUUCCUGUUGGUUUGGAGUCAUGAACACUCCGGGUUGACAACUGAGGUCAAUUUCUGCAUUCGAUUCAAAGGAAACUGGGUUGGAUGAAUUCGACACAAUGGUGAACUUAGUGGAUCAUUACGUCUUAAGUAAGUCCCAGGAAAUGUGACGAAACUAUAGAAAAGGUAUCCUUAAUCCGAAAUGAUGUGAGCUAAGCGCGAAUAAACUCUUUGGGUCUUAAUGACACCCAUGAGACUUUUGAUGUCUGACCAUAGAUGUGGAAGAAAGAUAAAGGAAGAAAAAUUGAAAAGCAGCGAAAAAGUAGGAGGGGGGGAAAAAUGUAUGCACAAACAUUGGGAGUCAAAGAGCAUGUUUAUGCAAUAAUUUUCUAACCUCUAAAGUUUUUCUCCCAUUUUUGAGUUAAAGUAGGCAUUGCUGAGCAAGGACGAUUAGCCAUUCCACAGAAGCUCUUGAGGACCACAGAACAUAUUAAAUCAGUAAUUUGUGUGAUGGGCCUGAUAGAGUUAGCAGCUGACAAAAUGGCAGAUGUAAUCAAUAACCUGCCGACUCACAAAACAGUUGAUUUGGCCCCCAAAUACCUAUUGUGUUUAUUAGUGAAUCCCACGUACAGAAUGUGAAUUACAAGACAGUGUUGAUCAUUUUCCGCAGUUGUUUAUUUUUCUUUCCCUCCAUAAGCCCUUAUGAAUUAAAAUGCAAAGUAGAGGUUAGGAACUCCGAGAAAUCUUGUUUUGCUCAUUUUUUUUUUUUUUUUUCCCAGCGCACAUUUGCAUUUUCGAUGGCUGCAAUCUCUGCCUCCCUGCUUUGGUUUGGCGAGGCAUACGGUUGUUGUACUCUGCCUUAUGAAUAUUAUGAUUUAGCUAAGGUGAAACUUGGAUAGGGAUCAGAACAUGUCAACCGGGGACUAUUAGGUUAAGAGAACUAGACCUCUGGCCUCUCUUUGGGGCUUGUGAUGUCUUUGAAUCCCCUGAUGUAGGAAAUUUGGAUGCUGGGGAUUUCUUCCACACUCAAGAAAAGGAUAGGAUGGGUUUUAUAUGUACUUAAACUUUGUCUUUUAUAACCAGGUGGCAGCCAAUUUAUUUAAAGCACUGAUGAAUAAGAGGAACCCUGGAAGGGAACAUUUGACUCAUCCUUAUCUUUACUCUCAGGAGGACGAUAAUCCCUGGAAUCAGGGAACAUUCAAAUAAACCAUGUAACGCUGGAUCCAACUGAUUAUCCUCAUUAGCAGAACCCUGAGAUUUACUGAGAAUAAUUGAAAGUUGCAUUUGGCAUGUGUCUUAAUUGUUACUCUGCAGAAGGCAAUAUAAGGGAAGAUUUUGAAUAUAUCAGAUGACAGAGUUAUAGUGUAGAUAAGUCUGGGAAAACAUUUGCAAAGUUUAUCCAUAUAACAUGCCUUAAGUUGUCAGGCAGUAUAUUUGCGUCGUAAGAAAAAUGUUCAAGAAGACAGGCAGCAUGGGACGUCCAUCCUGCGUGGUGUUUCUCCGUCUUGAUACGGGAGAACUUGGUAACUAGAGCAAAGCCAUAAGCUGUGCAAUCAUUCUGAAUUUGCAUUCACUUAAGGAAAGAUUGUGAAUGUCCUGAUUUGUUUUCACUUUUUCUGGCCCUCACGAGCCCUAUCCCACUGCCUUGGUGUGCAUUUCAUAGCAUCGCUCAGCUGUGCAAGUUUUUGUUUUUGUUUUUUUCUCCUUGUUAAUUUUCUAUCCAAUCCCCAAAGUGAAGCUUGCAGGAGGGAUGAAGGCCGGAAAAUAGCAAGUUAUGAAUAGGUCAAGGGAUAUGAACAAGCCAUCGUGUAGCCUCCAAGCUUUUCAAGCUUUUCUCUCUUAAGGUUUCGGAUGUGCGUGUGUUUGGCUAUGCCGAGAGACAAAAGGAGGUCAUCUUCCCAGUUCCUAUUUCAGAGACAAUAACAGGCACAAAAGUGCAGCAAAUAGCCACCAUCGUUUAGUACACAAUAGAAAUGUGUUUAAAUUUUUUUUAAUGUUUCUUUAUUUUUGAGAGAGAGAGAUAGAGUGUGAGUGGGGAAGGGGCAGAGAGGGAGGGAGGCACAGGAGCCGAAGCAGGCGCCGGGCUCUGAGCUGUCAGCCCAGAGCCGGACACGGGGCUCCAACUCACAGACCACGAGAUCAUGACCCGAGCCGAAGUUGGACGCUCAAACGACUGAGCCACCCAGGCGCCCCUAGAAAUGUGUUUGUAUUAAUCGUCUCAGUGCCCAGGAGGACGGUCAUAUUAUUGCAUUUGACAGGUGAGGAACGGGAGAAACAGAAAAGUUAGGUAAAUGGGCUCAAACUUGCACACCUGGAGGCUAAAAGUGUUAAGAGUGUAAACCCAGACCUGGAGCCUGCUGAAGCCUGUGCAUUUCUUACCGUGCUCUGUGCUUUUUUUAAAGAAGGGUCUUGAGAACGUAGAGGAACAGAUGGGGCCGCUGGUUACAUGAGCCCUUCUACGAUUGCCUUAUUCUCUCCUGACUGCAUUUCCCCCUCGCUUUUCUACCCACCACACUCAAGGAAGAAAACAAUGGGGCAGAACCAAAAAAGAGACUUUAGUUGUCACUGACUUAGAAGUAAAAGGAGCUAGUCUUGGAAAGUAGACUUUCCAAACAGGCGAUUUGGCCAUGUUUCCAAAUUCUAAACUUGGAGGCUCAGCUCUUUCCAUUGAGCAAAUUAUCAAGAAAAUCAUUUAGAUGGGAUUUCCUCUGAAAUGUAGAUACAUCUUAUUUCAGAAUUUUGGCUACCAAAGACCCAUUAUCACUUAUUUGCAUUGCAGCCUUACGCUGCCGGUCUGCAACCUUCCUAUGAAUAAGAUUCAUCCAGGAGGGAGUCAAUUAGUGCUCUUCAGUUUUAAGUAACAGGAAUCUUCCCUGGUUACUAUAAGCAGCAAGGAUUUGGGCAGCUCUCAGAAAUAAAGGGAAGGCUGGAGAACAGGGCCAGAAAAAGGAGAGAGACAGGGGUGUAGGUAGGAGGAACUAAUUUUGUUUCCUAUCUACAUUCAACUUUGUGAUGUCAUUGAAUCCGAAGAUGUUUAAGUAACUAUCUAUAGUGGACAGAAUUCUAAGAUGGGCCUCAAGAUUCCCACCCACUGUGUCUUAGUGUUCUUAGAGAAAAAGAACCAAUAGAAUAUACACGUAUAUUCUGAAUAUAUUUAUAUAUUCUGGAUAUGUGUAUAUAUUCUGGAUAUAAAAAAUAUAAAAUGUAUUUAAAUCUACAAACGAUGUUUAGAUGUUUAUAUGUAUUCUGGAUUAAAACAUAAAAUUUAUUUAUAUCUACCUACAAUAUUGAUAGAUUUACUCUGGAUACAAAACACAUAAAACAUAUUUAUAUCUAUAUAUAAUAUUUAUAUAUAUUAUGGAUAUACAUAAUAUGGAUAUAAAAAUAAAACUAAAAACAUAUGAAAUAUAUAUUUAGAAUAAAAAAUAAAUAAAACAAAUAUAAAUAUGUGUCAUACACAUAUAACAUUCAUAUAUGCAUUUUUUUAAUGCUUAUUUUUGAAGGAGAGAGAGACAGCAUGGGUGGGGGAGGGGCAGAGAGAGAGGGAGACACAGAAUCCGAAGCAGGCUCCAGGCUCCCAGCUGUCAGCACAGAACCCGACGUGGGGCUCGAACUCAUGAACCGUGAGAUCAUGACCUGAGCCAAAGUUGGAUGCUUAACUGACUGAGCCACCCAGGUGCCCCACAAUAUUCAUAUAUAUAUAUAUAUAUAUAUAUAUAUAUAUAUACACAAAGAGGUUUAUGAUGAGGGUUUGGUUGACAGGAUUAUGGAGCGUAAGUCUGACAGUCUGCCAUUUACAAGGUGGAGGCCAAGGAAAGCCGGUGGUGUAGUUCCCAUCCCAACCCAAAGGCUGGAGAAGCAGGAGCUUCUAUGUGUGAGGGCAGGAGAAGAUGAUGUCCCACCUCAACAGAGAGCAAACUCGCCCAUUGCUCAGUCUUUUUGUUCUACUCCACAAAUUGGCUGAUGAAAACUUGCAUUGAUGAAGGCCAUCUUUUUUAUUUUAAUUAAUUAACUAGUUAAUUAAUUAAAACAUCUACUUAUUUAUUUUGAGAGAGAGAGAGAGAGAGAGAGAGUGAGCCAGCAGAGAAGAGGGAUGGAGGGAGGGAGAGAAAGAAUCCCAAGCAGGCUCCACAUCCAAUGCAAAGCCUGAUGCGGGGCUGGAUCCCAAGACCACGAGAUCAUGACCUGAGCUGAAAUCAAGAGUCGGAUGCUUUAUGGAAUAAAUGCCCUGAGGACCAUCUUUUUGUUCAGUCUACAAUUCAAGAGCUAAUGUCUUUUGGAAAUACCCUCACAGAUAGUCCUAGAGAUAAUGUUCUAUCAGCUGUCUGGGCACCCUUUAGCUCAGUCAAGUUGACAUGUAAAAAUAAAUCAUCACACUCUGUUACACCCAUCCUGUGUAAUCCCUUGAGUGUGGGUGAGAUUAUGAGUGAUGGGCUAUCACUUCUGUCAACAGGUUACUCUACUAAUCAGCUGGCUUUGAGUUCAUCGAAAGAAGGAUUAUCCUAGGUUCACCUGACCUAAUCAGAUGAGCUCUUAAACCAGGACUGGGCCCUCUCUGGGGUAAGAGAUUUUAUGAGAAAGAGAUUCUCUUACUGACCUUGAAGCUGAAUACUGCCAUGGACAAGGCCAUACGGCAGGGAGCUGUGGGCACCUCCAGGAGCUGGGAGUGGCCCUGAACAACAGCUAGUCGGAAAGUGGGACCUCGGUCCUCUGGUUGCCAGGAGCUGAAUUCGGCCAUCAGGCAGCUGGGUUGGAAGAGGACAGAACCCUCUCUGCAGCUCCAGCCAACACCUGAUUUCAGCCUGUGAGACCCCAAGCAGAGAACCCCCCACCCUGUGUCUGGACUUCUGACCCACACGACUGUUGAGAUAACAAAUGGGUAUUGUUUCCAGGUGCUCAGUUUGUGACGAUGGAGUCUAUACCACCUCCAUGCCGCUGACUCUAAAAUCUAGACCCUCUUUCCUAACUUCAGUCUGAUACCCAACCACCGACUUGCUGUCUCUGCCUGGACGUCUAAGAGACAUGGCAAACAUAAUGUGUCCCGAACCGAGCUUCCCUCUCUCCUGUCAACCCACUCUUCCUAUCCUCCUUUUAUGCCCAAAGUGACAACUCUCUCCUUACAGUUGCUUACCUCAAGAACUCUGAGUUUUGUUUCACUUUCAAUCCGUGAGUUUUAAACUUUGACUCUACUUCUCACUAAUGGCUCUGCUGUCACCCUGGUCUUUACCACCCAACGCGUUUCACAUGGGCUAGUGCAGCCGUCUAAAUGACUUCCCAGAUUUCCCCCCGGGUCUCCUACAGUCUGCCUUCGAUACAACAACCGGAGUGAGGUCGUUACAUGAAAACUCUAGUCAGUCAUCUGUGUAGAGCCUUCAGUGGCUCUCCGGUAGACUGAGUUAUUAGUCCCUAUUCUCAUUUCUCCCUUUGCCAUAUGACUUUGCAGUCCUUCUCACUGGGGGUGAACGAGGUGGCUCCAUUCCUUGACUCGGGUCACUUAACUUGCUUCGAGCAAGUAGAGAGAAGUGGGGCAAGGUGUACAGAAAUGACAAUAUCUCAGUGCUGAGUUUAGGCCUUACGAGUUUCACCGUCUGUACCUCACUGUUGCUGAGAGAACCUGCCCUGGCUGGCUCAGUUGUUCAAGUGGAUGAGAGACCCUUGGAGCAGACAAGAACACAGCCUGCCAUUUAACGCUGCCCAGAUGAGCCCAGCCUAG